Molecule: ribosomal RNA, 423 nt
Filed under: uncultured bacterium
Lineage: Bacteria
Description: bacterial SSU rRNA
Rfam family: Bacterial small subunit ribosomal RNA
Source: RNAcentral
CUUAACUGAGGAAGGGCGUAUGAUACUGGCGAGCUAGAGUGCGGAAGAGGGGGGUGAAAUUCCAGGUGUAGCGGUGAAAUGCGUAGAUAUCUGGAGGAACACCGGUGGCGAAGGCGACCCCCUGGUCCGACACUGACGCUGAGACGCGAAAGCGUGGGUAGCAAACAGGAUUAGAUACCCUGGUAGUCCACGCCGUAAACGAUGGGCACUAGGUGUCUGGGGUAUUGACCCCCUGGGUGCCGCAGCUAACGCAUUAAGUGCCCCGCCUGGGGAGUACGAUCGCAAGGUUAAAACUCAAAGGAAUUGACGGGGGCCCGCACAAGCGGUGGAGCAUGUGGUUCAAUUCGACGCAACGCGAAAAACCUUACCUGGGCUAGACAACGGUGGCCAACCCUAGAAAUAGGGUCUUCCCUUCGGGGACUG